Molecule: ribosomal RNA, 481 nt
Filed under: uncultured bacterium
Lineage: Bacteria
Description: partial 16S ribosomal RNA
Rfam family: Bacterial small subunit ribosomal RNA
Source: RNAcentral
GUGAACGCUGGCGGCAGGCCUAACACAUGCAAGUCGAACGAGCGAGAGAGAGCUUGCUUUCUCGAGCGAGUGGCGAACGGGUGAGUAACGCGUGAGGAACCUGCCUCAAAGAGGGGGACAACAGUUGGAAACGUCUGCUAAUACCGCAUAAGCCCACGGCUCGGCAUCGAGCAGAGGGAAAAGGAGCAAUCCGCUUUGAGAUGGCCUCGCGUCCGAUUAGCUAGUUGGUGAGGUAACGGCCCACCAAGGCGACGAUCGGUAGCCGGACUGAGAGGUUGAACGGCCACAUUGGGACUGAGACACGGCCCAGACUCCUACGGGAGGCAGCAGUGGGGAAUAUUGCACAAUGGGGGAAACCCUGAUGCAGCGACGCCGCGUGGAGGAAGAAGGUCUUCGGAUUGUAAACUCCUGUUGUUGAGGAAGAUAAUGACGGUACUCAACAAGGAAGUGACGGCUAACUACGUGCCAGCAGCCGCCGUAA